GACGAACGCUGGCGGCGUGCUUAACACAUGCAAGUCGAGCGGUAAGGCCCUUUCGGGGGUACACGAGCGGCGAACGGGUGAGUAACACGUGGGUGACCUGCCCUCAGCUCUGGGAUAAGCCUGGGAAACUGGGUCUAAUACUGGAUAUGACUCCACGGUGCAUGUCGUGGGGUGGAAAGCCUUGUGCGGCUGAGGAUGGGCCCGCGGCCUAUCAGCUUGUUGGUGGGGUGAGGCCUACCAAGGCGACGACGGGUAGCCGGCCUGAGAGGGCGACCGGCCACACUGGGACUGAGACACGGCCCAGACUCCUACGGGAGGCAGCAGUGGGGAAUCUUGCGCAAUGGGCGAAAGCCUGACGCAGCGACGCCGCGUGAGGGAUGACGGCCUC
Molecule: ribosomal RNA, 388 nt
Filed under: uncultured bacterium
Lineage: Bacteria
Description: bacterial SSU rRNA
Rfam family: Bacterial small subunit ribosomal RNA
Source: RNAcentral